AUACGGAGGAUCCGAGCGUUAUCCGGAUUUAUUGGGUUUAAAGGGUGCGCAGGCGGCCAUUUAAGUCAGCGGUUAAAUCGUGGGGCUCAACCCCAUUCUGCCGUUGAUACUGGGUGGCUUGAUUGCGGUCGAGGUUGGCGGAAUUCGUUGUGUAGCGGUGAAAUGCAUAGAUAUGACGAAGAACACCGAUUGCGUGGGUAGCUGACCAGAACGCAAAUGACGCUCAUGCACGAAAGUGCGGGGAUCGAACAGGAUUAGAUACCCUGGUAGGCCGGACAGUAAACGAUGAAUACUUGUUUUCGGCGAUAGAAUGUCGGAGGCAAAGCGAAAGCGAAAAGUAAUCACCCUGGGGAGUACGGCGGCAACGGUGAAACUCAAAUGAAUUGAGGGGG
This 392-nucleotide ribosomal RNA is filed under the name uncultured bacterium. RNAcentral's name for it is "partial 16S ribosomal RNA". It matches the Rfam family "Bacterial small subunit ribosomal RNA", at positions 523 to 918 of the family's 1533-position model. The record is from RNAcentral.